Long non-coding RNA from Patella vulgata (common limpet), 2079 nucleotides. RefSeq lists it as uncharacterized. The record is from RefSeq and is a predicted model, not a curated record. Lineage: Eukaryota; Metazoa; Mollusca; Gastropoda; Patellidae. The transcript has 3 exons.
UAUUUCCCUGUUGUACAGCCCAGAUGCGCGCCCUUUUCUUAGAACCACAAGCUCCCUGAUAUUUGUAGAAGACGGCUGUGUUAUAGUUUAGGAGAAAUAGCUGUGAUCAUAUACAAUAUCAUAUAAUGUCUGAUCAAAACGUAACCAACAACAUCCUGGCGUGUACUAUAAACAAUACAUAUCAUGUUAACGGCGAUGGUCUCGGGGUGCAGAUUGGAAAUGGUAAUAGUAUCCAACAGACCAAUCAACUUCAAGAAGAGGUGGUUGACCUGCGGGAAGAGUUGGGUGAAUUAAAAGACCGAGUCAGACAGCUAGAGGAAAGAAUGGCCGCAUCAGAAAAUAAUAAUGAUGAUAAAAACACUGAGGAACCAGGAUAUAAGAUGGAUGACGAGGAGGAGGAGGAGAAGGAUGUGAUUACUCUGAACAUCAGGUGUAUUGGGUAUGGUGAUAUAAGUGAUAUAAGUGUUAGUAAAGAUAAAACUAUAAGUGAACUAGAACCUAUAAUACAGCAGGGGUAUAGAAGGAAGUAUGGUAAAGGUGUUGAUGUUUGUCAUAUUCUGCGUAUCUACAGUGUAAAACAGAAGAAGUUCAUCUACCGCUGUAACAACAACAAAGAUCUACCAUUAUCACAUUAUGGUGUACGUAAUAGUGAUAGAGUCUGGGGGUGGCGGUAGUCUGUUUGGUUGUAAAACAGGAAGAGUUUAUAUACAUAUAUAAGUCUUGUUUUAUGUACUGAUAUUUAUACAAUCCCAGGUAUAUGGGUAUACGUUAUCACAAUGUCAUAUUAUAAUGGAUAUCUUAUAUUUUGUAUUCAAUUUAUUGUGAUCAAUAUUUAUUUCAAGAUCAAAUUGUUUUAUACUCAUGGUUCUAAUGACCGAUCAAACAUACCCGUAAGUUAACAGCAAGAAUAGAGAGAGAGAGAGAGAGAAAUGGGGUUUAACGUCCACUCGACACAAACUAGGUCAUUUCGGGACUAACAUAUGGUUUAAUUUUAUUUCAAUAAUUCGCUUGCGCGUAGGGGUCUUUAGCAGUGGGAGGAAACCGGAGGAGCCGGAGAAAACCCACGAGGUUGGACAGGCGACCCUACUCCUUGUCACGUACAACCGGGGAUUCGAAACCACGCCAGUUGACUCAAUGACAGGCCUUAUGAUACAGCGCGAGCGUGCUAACCAUUCGGCCACCCAACCCCCCUAACAGCAAGAAUAAUGAGAUAUAUAUUCCCGUACAUGUGAUCAUAGGUCCGGUGGGGUGUGGGUUGUCAAAGAAAUAAAUAGAUACAUAUUCCCAUAUAUGGUAUCCUAAGUGGGGGUUGGGGGUCGAAAUAAUUAGAUACAUAAUCCAAUACAUGCGGUCCUAGGUGUGUGAGGUGCAAAGCCCAGCUUAGACACGGACCCACGCGGUUUAUUAGGGGGGCCCGCGGUUCAUGGCAAAAAGAGAAAAAAUCAAAUUCCAGAUGAAAGUUUCACGUUAAUCGCCGUUAUAUGUCAUUUCAUGAAUGCCAUUCGGAACUGAAAAGAUUUCGUAUGUUAUUAUUCUUGUAUUACAGACCGUUUAAUUGUGUGCUACGCAUGCGUGGCAUUCAAAAGGAUGUGAAAUAAUCUAUUCGUCGCGUUAGGGGCUCCGCGAUUCUAGUCGGGCCCAAAGCCCCGCUCUGGUUAGGCUGAACUUUGGUUGGGUGUCAGAGAAAAUAAAUUAGAUAUAUGUGGUACUGGACGGGUGAUUGUGACCACUGAUCUUAUGUCAGAGAUUGAACAAGAAUAAUUCGAUACAUAUAUUCAUAUACAUCUGGUCCUAGGUGACAGGCAUUAGUACGACUAACUUACGAGUUUUAUUAUGUAUCAUUUCAAAAAUUGAUCUACUGACUAUUCCGUGGCUUAUUUAGCAGGUGCACUGUGCGGAUGUGUGGGUAUGGGGCGGUAUAGUGUGGUCGGAUAAUUGUAAUGCAACACGCCUGAUAACUGAUUCGUGAUCUUGUAUACGAGGUUGUUACAAAUGAAAGGAGAUAGAUAAAAAAAAGUCUUUAGAAUUUCAGAAUUUCACUUUAUAUAUAGAAGUGUUGAAUAUAAAUGUUUCAGUGUA